UUGGCUCAGUGGUAGAGCAUGUACCUAACAGGCACAAGGCUCUGGGUUCAAUUCUCAGA
Molecule: transfer RNA, 59 nt
Filed under: Heterocephalus glaber (naked mole-rat)
Lineage: Eukaryota; Metazoa; Chordata; Mammalia; Rodentia; Bathyergidae
Rfam family: tRNA
About the family: Transfer RNA (tRNA) molecules are approximately 80 nucleotides in length. Their secondary structure includes four short double-helical elements and three loops (D, anti-codon, and T loops).
Source: Rfam by way of RNAcentral